Long non-coding RNA from Hyaena hyaena (striped hyena), 376 nucleotides. RefSeq lists it as uncharacterized. Lineage: Eukaryota; Metazoa; Chordata; Mammalia; Carnivora; Hyaenidae. The record is from RefSeq and is a predicted model, not a curated record. The transcript has 3 exons.
UCAGGACAUUCCCAGAUAAACAAAAAAGGAGUGUGGGACCGUAAGACCCGCCCUACAAUGAGUGCUGAAGGGAGUCCUGUAGCCUGAAACAGAACACAUUAUGAAGAAAUAAUGGUCUCAAUAAAGGACAAAGGACCAGCCCCAUGGCCUGGCAGCCCAGACCUCGGUGAUGAUGACAUGGCAGCAAGAACUAUUUACCACGUCAUCUGUUGGGCACCUUCUGUACGAAAUUUCACAGCCCCUGAGCCAAGAACUACCAUCCCUAUCCUACAGUGGGGAAACUGAGGCUCAGCGAGAAGUCAGCCAGGGCCCUGGAAUUACGAUGCCUGCUGGACCCACAUUCAGCUGAAGGAGGGGGCAGAGCAGCCACACGGAA